ACUAUACUGUGAAACUGCGAAUGGCUCAUUAAAUCAGUCAUAAUUUAUUUGAUAGUACCUUUACCUGGAUAACCGUGGUAAUUCUAGAGCUAAUACAUGCUAAAAACCUCGACUUCGGAAGGGGUGUAUUUAUUAGAUAAAAAACCAAUGCCCUUCGGGGCUCCUUGGUGAUUCAUAAUAACUUAACGAAUCGCAUGGCCUUGCGCCGGCGAUGGUUCAUUCAAAUUUCUGCCCUAUCAACUUUCGAUGGUAGAAUAGUGGUCUACCAUGGUUUCAACGGGUAACGGGGAAUUAGGGUUCUAUUCCGGAGAGGGAGCCUGAGAAACGGCUACCACAUCCAAGGAAGGCAGCAGGCGCGCAAAUUACCCAAUCCCGAUACGGGGAGGUAGUGACAAUAAAUACUGAUACAGGGCUCUUUCGGGUCUUGUAAUUGGAAUGAGUACAAUCUAAAUCCCUUAACGAGGAACAAUUGGAGGGCAAGUCUGGUGCCAGCAGCCGCGGUAAUUCCAGCUCCAAUAGCGUAUAUUAAAGUUGUUGCAGUUAAAAAGCUCGUAGUUGAACCUUGGGCCUGACCGAUCUGUCCUCCUAAUCGAGCGCACGGAUUCGGUUGGGCCUUUCCUUCUGGGGAGCCCUAUGCCCUUCACUGGGCGUAGUGGGGAACCAGGACUUUUACCUUGAAAAAAUUAGAGUGUUCAAAGCAGGCAUUUGCUCGAAUACAUUAGCAUGGAAUAAUAGAAUAGGACAUCGGUUCUAUUUUGUUGGUUUCUAGGACCGCUGUAAUGAUUAAUAGGGAUAGUCGGGGGCGUCAGUAUUCAAUUGUCAGAGGUGAAAUUCUUGGAUUUAUUGAAGACUAACUAUUGCGAAAGCAUUCGCCAAGGAUGUUUUCAUUAAUCAGUGAACGAAAGUUAGGGGAUCGAAGACGAUCAGAUACCGUCGUAGUCUUAACCAUAAACUAUGCCGACUAGGGAUCGGACGGUGGUUUUUUAUGCCCCGUUCGGCACCUUACGAGAAAUCAAAGUU
Molecule: ribosomal RNA, 1020 nt
Filed under: Cladophialophora globosa
Lineage: Eukaryota; Fungi; Ascomycota; Eurotiomycetes; Chaetothyriales; Herpotrichiellaceae
Description: SSU rRNA
Rfam family: Eukaryotic small subunit ribosomal RNA
Source: RNAcentral